CAGACCGGCACGAAGGCACGGCACAGGCAUAGAAUAAAUAAUUCAUGUAUCGACAAGUAUAGAUAGAUGGAUAAAGAUGAAUCAUAUAGCAAGUGAAUGAAAGCAGAAUAGGGUUUUUGUUGGCAUCGAGAAUGACGCCAACUAGGGUUCGGGGCUCGACCUCGGAGCCGAUGGGCUGUGGUAGCAGCUGCUGUUCUUCGGAUGCAGCGAAGUGGUGGUCAUGCUUGGUCGCGCGGCUUCGUCAUUGGCCGGUGCUCGGCAAGAUGUUGCAAAGGCGGUCAGCGGUGCUGCGAGGUUCCACUCAAGGUAGCUCUAGCGUUGCGGCUUCCGUGGGAAGGUGCAGCAGGUCCGAGGCCUCCCUGUGACAGCAGUAAAACACGGCACGAAGGCCGGUCUCAGCAAGGACAGCGACAAGGUCAACCACAAUGAGGAGAAGAACAAAGCUUGCCUACUGUCUCACCAGCGGCAGUGGAAGUUGCCGAAGAUGGGGUGCUGCUGCUGCUGAGGCUGUGCUGCACGUGCAGAGAUGAACGGUGGCCAGCAAAAGGAGAAGUUCGCGGUCACCAUGGCACGCUGAGCACGACGUCGUGGUCGGGUUCGCGAUCACCAUGGCCAGCGCUGACGUGGUGACCGCGGCGAGCUCGGCGGUGGCGCGGCUGCUCGACUUGGCGAGGACGACGCGGGGGCGAUGGGGCUCGAGCACGGCGUCGUCGUGGUGGCUCGGGGACGGGGCUCGGCGUGCCCGCGGUUAUGCCGCGACACACCCGCAGUGGUCGGCCGUCGUGGGCGUGCUGGGCUCCUGCUCGGUGCGGAACGCUCGGCGUCGACGCUCGGCUCGGCGGCGACGGAUGCGCGAGGGCGAAGCUUGACGAGGUGCUGUUGAAGUCCGGCGUCGCGGCUCGGGUCGAGGACGCACGGCGGUCGUGGCGCUGUCGUGGUGGAGCUCGACGAAAAGGGAGCACUCGCCGCGGCGUCGCUCCUGGACGUGGCGACCGUGGCGAGCACGCAGUCUGAUGGCGUCGUCGCGGCGGCCGGGGCGAGGGCGAGGCCGAAGCUCGGUGCGGCGCGGCGGCUCUGGCUCCGGGGCGAGGUGGUGCUUGGCGUCGCUGGGUGGUGGAGCAGAGCGGCGGCGUCGUGGGGAAGAAGAGGAGAGCGGCGGCUCGGGCUCUUAUACGCGUCGUGGCCUAGGGUUCCAGGGGUGCUAGGCGCUGCGGGCGGUGAUCCUCGGCGUCCGUGCCGUUGGGCGGGCCGCGUGGCGCUCAUCUGGCAGCAGCACGGGCGUCCAGGGCACGAGUGCGGUGCUGCAGGGGCGCGGCGACGGCGUCUGGGAACCAGGGGGCGCACCUAGGGUUCCAGGGGUGCUGGUCUUGGGCUAGGUGGGCCUUGGCUGCUGCGCGGGCCGUGGAGUGGAGAUGGGGAGCUGGCUGGGCCGCGCGGUUGGAAGGGGGAUGGCGCCGGUUGGGCCUCUGCCUGGGCCGCGUGGCUUGGAGCUGGGCCGCUGGGUGGCUUGGGCCAAGGGAGAGGUAGCUGGGCCGCGGAGAGGGGAGGGGGUGGGCCGGCGCUGCUGUCCACGCUAUGGGCCAGGGAGGGGGGCGCUAGGAGGCCUGUAUGGGCAUGCACGAGGGGGAGAAAGGAGAGAAAAUUAAGAGAGGAGGAGAAAAGGGUUUUCUAUUUUUGAUUAAGCAGAAUGGAAUGAAAACAAAAGGAGUUGGAGAAGAUUCAAAAGGAGAUCGGAUAAAAUCCAAUGGAGUUUGAGACGUACUCCAACGAAAAAGUUGAGAACGGAUUCGCUUCGCCAUAGAGAUAGGCUCAACGAAGAUUCGGGAAGGCUUUGCUACGAAUUUGUGCACUCCAAAAGAAACUCAAAACCCUAAACAAGAUCCAACUUAAGACAACUCACGAAUAAGAGCACUCGUCUACAAACAAUUCUAUAUGAAUGCGACGACUUGUUAGCGGGUUAGAAUCGAGUUAGACCCAAAAACUAUAUGCUUCACACGAUUACAGGAAAAAUUUUAAAAAGCUCGUAUUUUUAGUUUACGUAAAAAAAAUCUGGGAUGUUACAGUCCACCCUCCUUACAGGAAUCUCGUCCCUGAGAUUUAGGUGUUGCUCGGUCGGUGAAGAGGCGAGGGCACUAUUCCACAAGUUCUUACUUCUGAGUUGUUUUACUUCCAGCAUGAUCGCUCCAAUAACCUUUUCCAAAAACGGAGUGAGUCAUGAUCCCAGUGUAUCCAAGGCUCAGUCACGAGUGUUGGGUAUCCAAAUUCUUACACCGAGGCGAUGGGUAUCCAAGAAUCGCAUCGUGUUUAUGAACAUCUGGCUCUCAAGGGGUGCAUGGCAGGCUUAAACAUAGCUAGGGUUGUUGGCUUUCGAUAGCUGUUUUUCAGGCAUCAUCCUUUGAAAAAGGCUUUUGAAAGAAGGGAGUUUUGGGAAACAGGUUUCAAAAAUAGAGUGAAAGCGCUUUUACAAAAUCAAGUUUUUUUUUAGCCUUCAAAUUGAAGAGAGCUUUUGAAGAGUGUUAAAAUCAAUGCAAGUUUUGAAAACCAAAUCUUUUGAAGGUUUUGUUAUAAUAGAUUUCAAAUCAAGAGAUUUUUAAAAUUCUUUUACUUUAUUAUUAUUAUUAUUUUUAACACAAGGUAUUGCUCUCUUUUUAUUAGAGUCAAACAAACUAGUUUUGAAAAUGACUAGAAAUCAUUUCUCAUUUUGAAAGAUAAAGCUUUAACAACAAAGCAUUUUCUUUCAAAACUUGUAAGUUCAUUUUGUUUUUGCUAAAACUUUUCCCUUGAAAGGAUGCAAAUAAAAUCUUUUCGCCCUGGUUUUUGUUUAAUAAAUCACUGGCAAUUUCUUUUUCUUUUGAGGCAAGGUAGAAUUUGAAAAGGAAUUUGGCUCUUGAGAUAAAAUCAAAGGCUUUAAAACAAAACUAAGCCAAAGUUCUUUGGUUUGAGAGCUACUUUAUUGAUGACAAAGCAAGGCUUUUGUUUUUCAGAAGAGGGUUGGUAACACGUUUUGAAGGAUAACUUGUUUUUAAAUCAUUUCAUAAAUAGAGUUUGAAUAAAAUUGAGUUGAGAAAGGAGUUAAAACUGCUUUUAUUUGUGAAAAGGGAAGACAUUGAGAGAGUUUUGAAACACUUUUCCAUUUGAAAUAUAGAUGCUUUUGUUAAAGAGGGGAUAUUUUAACCAAAAGGAGAGAAAAUUUUUCAACCAAAGGGGGCAAUUUGAAGACAAGUUUAGUUGGAAGCCAAAAACAGUUUUGAAAUAGAUGGGCAAGACAUGAUGCAUUAGCUUUACAUCCUUUUCCAGCUCUGUUAGCCAGGGUCACCUAUCUAGUUUCGGGACGGUCUUGGGUUUAGCCAGCUAGAUUGGACAGGAUCCAGAGUCUUUCACGCGUAAAACAGGUUCUAUGACUUACACUCAGACAACAAGAAGCAGAAGAAACGCGAGAACAUAAGAUCUAAGCACUCAAAUAACAUUACAACUCCUAAUGCAUAGUGUUGACUUGAGGCGACUCAGGGACCUUCAAAGUCUCACACGACUAUCGAUCUAGCAUGGGCGGGUAUGGGAAAAAAAAUUCCAACGGUCAACUUUAUGAAACAGGGAGGUCAGUUAGAAGAAGAAUUCAAGGCGAAAGGGGAAAACAAGUGUUAGCAUUUAUAACUCUACAAAAGAUAGAAUGUUUGGCUUCUAAACUAGUGUUUGGUCCUAAAGGUCUUGUCCUAGGGUCAAGUAUGGCUCUGAUACCAACUGAAACGACCCCGAUUUUUCCACAAAGGGAAAAAUCCAAAGAUUCGAAUUAUAAUGUGAUAAUUCAAAAAUUGAACCAUCGCAUUAUCAUAUAUCAGCUGUUAUCGUAGUCAUACAUCGUGAGAAACAAGAUUACAACACAUUUGCUUUACAACUCUUGAUUAACAAGCUUAUUACAUUGUUUUUCUAGCGGAAACACACGCGAGUCUUUAUCAGAGUCGAUGUAGCGCGACAGCGGUGAAGGCUCCUCCUUCACGGACAAUCAUCAGAGUCGGCGUAGUUUAUCAGCGGGCGCAGCCUUCAUCUCUGAACCAAACUUGAGCGCAGGAACGAGACCACCUAAUCCUUCUAUUCUCCGUAGUUAUCGUCAUAGAUCACGUUCAAACCUGCUAAACAAUUUUCAGUACGAUUUGUACUGGCCACUGGCUCCCACCCUAUGCUUUUGCGUAGCUUUGUGGUAGGUGGAAAUGCAAAGGGUAUAUCAAGAGGCCUAUGUAUAGCUGUAGUUUUUCCUAUGCAAGUUCAUCAAUAUUUUAAUAAUAAUAAUUUAUCAAGUUUUAAUCCAUCUCAACCACACGUCCAUCCAUCCAUCCAUCCCAUCACACACAACUUACCACACUCUCACUCUCUAGGCGGCAAGUAUGACUCCCGCUCGUGCCUUGCCUCAACGGCCAACGCCGGAUCCAACACAAACCCAGGGGAAGGUAGAAAGGACUCCUCUCACUAGUCAAGCGAAGUGGAACAUAGGAAAGGUCCAUAGCCGAGAAGACGGCAUAUGUAUCGAUCGAUCAACCAAACUCUGCAGAGGUUUACACUAACCACAAGAUCACCAUCAUCGACGAACCGGCUCGUCUAGGCUGAUACCGGGCUGCCUUCCAACAAAAUACGAUGCCACCCUACCACUCAGGACUGGGGCCAUACCGGAGUACCACCGGCAUGCUGAGACUGUGAGGCGUAGUACCAGGCCCCCAAGGGUCACUACGCUGUCUUAGGAGGGUGUGGGUCCUCAUGCCCGUACCUCCCUACACUAUCCGCUAUCAACCUAGUAGUAGUGGCACCGCACUAGCUGGUCGUACAUCCGUCCCGCACCAUAAUAAGGCGAGUGGCGUGUAAGGCUUCCUACGAACCGGUUCUCAGAACAUCUCAGUCCUUAGGGUAACCGAACAGGACAUCUUCACGAGGGGCCAGCCGAUGCCCCUCUCGACGGGACACCCGGCUACCCCGUGCUAUACAGCACCUCCCAUCCCGGUGCUUCGUCCCACGAAGACACUCCACUCCGGGACCUCUCCCUGUCACAUGUACCCGCCACAGGUAUCUCUCAUGGAGAACGCCCAGGUAGCGUUCCCCGGCAAGACUUGUCCCAAGACUCGUCGUAAAUCCUGCUCGGUCGACUCGACCCUCACCACACACCCAAGACACACGCCAAGAUCUCCCCAUAUCCAUUAUCCAUUUCUUAACCAGUUAUCGGCACACGUGCCUUAUCCACUCACAUCCAAUCCUCCACAAUGCAUCACAUCACAGAUAUAAUGCGUAGUAGAAGCAGUAGCAAGUAGUAUGCAAGCAUCUAACCUAACAGUGGGUGUGCGAGGGUUAUAGGUUGCAACAAGGCAAUGGCUCACAAGCAUUUCUACCAUGCAACCUAUCAUAGUUCAUUUGCAUAAAAGUAAAGCACUAGCAUCUAUAAUAUUGCAUGUCUAAUAGGAUUCUACGAGGUUGGGUGGGACGUGGCACCUGUUGAAUGUCAUUCCCAAGAUCCUCAGUGCACUUGUAGUUGUUCUUAUCCAAAGUCCUUCCAUCUGCAUGUCCUUCCUCCACUGGGUCCCGAACCGAUCAACGUUAAACGAAGCAACUACCUUGUAAACGUCAAGCAAGGCGAAACAAUCAGACCACUAGACCUAGAAGGACUGUGAAGAAGGCGACAGAACACUGAAGAAUAACUACACCAAAAGAGCACCGAAGGGAAAACAGUUUAGCCCUCUCGGCGGAUAUCCGAUCCCUGGGCUAAAAGAAAUAGGAAUGUCUGUUCACCAAGUACAAGUCAGAGUCUUAGCCUAGCCGAUACUUCCCGGGUCAACUGAGUCAACCUGUACGGCUUUAAUAAAUAGCUUAGACUCUAACUCAUUCUAAGCAAACACCACAGCUUACGGUCUUUUGAUCCAAGUGUCAUAGGGAUCGGCAGGAAUCGAAAAGACUAUGAGUACGAGAAGUUCCGGUCUCUCUCACUCCAUACGCCAUUGUAGUUGGCGAGAGCCAAGAGAGGGUGGAAUAGAGAGAGAAGAAGGGAAAGUGGUCUACUCCUUCCAAUCCACUCGCCAUGGUAAGAGACGGGGAAUCCGAAAGAGUGACACACAAGAACACGAGUGCUCAAACUACUUGUAGGGUACCACAACCUAGGUGCACUAAAUGCACUAAGGCAUCACUAGGGUUCUUAGCGGUGCGGUUGUCACCACGAGAACCAAGAAAUGCUACGGUCGAAUAGGUACAAGCGUACAAGAGUUUAAACACGAAGAACCAAAAAGGCGGGAAAGGACACGGGAUUCAUCUUCCUUUGAUCCACUCGCCAUAGCAACAGCGGGAAUCGUAGAAAUGGAAUCAAAACACCAAACAAACAAAAGGGCUCAAUCCACAUAUUACUGGAUCUACAGGGAUUGAGAACGAGAGAAGAGGAAUGGAGUCCAUACUGUUUCGACCAACUCAUCAUGGAAUGAACGACGGUUGGAUGAAAGAGAUACGACCCCACGAUCCAAGCCUACUCGUAGGGUACCACGACUGUGCAUCUAAUCAGCACACGGCUAUUCCUAAGGCCCGUAGCGAUGCGGUUGUCACCGCUAGGUCCGAGGGAAUGCUAUAGUCGAAGUGGUGCAAGCAUACGAGGUGGUUAGGAUAAAUACGCGAGAAAUAGGGUAAAGCCGGAUGGUCAUGGCAAGGUGGACUUGCGACCAUUAGCUUCACCCAACGAGUUGGCUUCUGACUGUUAUACAAGGGUUGCUCCUAAUCUGUAUCCCACUAGACUAGAUCACAGAGAACUCGAAGGUGCGGGUAAGAACCGCGUCGUUAUGAAUAUCGAGUCCACAAAGAUCAAACCCCAGGGACGAGGAUAGGAGCUAACAAGCGUAGCGUGACGAAGUCAACUAAACACGGGGAGACGAGUUACGCUCGGCAUCGCGAUCACGGCGGGACGAACCCACGAUCGAAAUGAUCAAACGCACUACCACUUCCCCGACCGGCUCGAAGGCUCAGUCCUCAGGCAAAUAACAAAAGAAAGAACGACGACAACCCGAGAAGGGAUAUGCUUGGCACUACGACCAUGGUGAGACAACUCGCGAUCGCAACAUUCAAACACAUCACUCUCUCAACCGGCUCGAAGGCACGGUUCACAACCAACCAACCACAUGACACAAGAACCAACGCACAAAGAACCACAAUGCCGCAACCAACACAAAGACAAAGUAGAGUAGCACAUUUCCAUAGCGACCAACAGAGAUAGAUAAACGGAUAGAUAAACAGACCGGCACGAAGGCACGGCACAGGCAUAGAAUAAAUAAUUCAUGUAUCGACAAGUAUAGAUAGAUGGAUAAAGAUGAAUCAUAUAGCAAGUGAAUGAAAGCAGAAUAGGGUUUUUGUUGGCAUCGAGAAUGACGCCAACUAGGGUUCGGGGCUCGACCUUGGAGCCGAUGGGCUGUGGUAGCAGCUGCUGUUCUUCGGAUGCAGCAAAGUGGUGGUCAUGCUUGGUCGCGCGGCUUCGUCAUUGGCCGGUGCUCGGCAAGAUGUUGCAAAGGCGGUCUGCGGUGCUGCGAGGUUCCACUCAAGGUAGCUCUAGCGUUGCGGCUUCCGUGGGAAGGUGCAGCAGGUCCGAGGCCUCCC
This 7602-nucleotide long non-coding RNA is filed under the name Sorghum bicolor (sorghum). Its description in RNAcentral is "long non-coding RNA (SBIC_LNC004620)". Lineage: Eukaryota; Viridiplantae; Streptophyta; Magnoliopsida; Poales; Poaceae. The record is from RNAcentral.